This 1528-nucleotide ribosomal RNA is filed under the name Salmonella enterica subsp. houtenae str. ATCC BAA-1581. RNAcentral's name for it is "bacterial SSU rRNA". It matches the Rfam family "Bacterial small subunit ribosomal RNA". The record is from RNAcentral. Lineage: Bacteria; Pseudomonadati; Pseudomonadota; Gammaproteobacteria; Enterobacterales; Enterobacteriaceae.
AGAGUUUGAUCAUGGCUCAGAUUGAACGCUGGCGGCAGGCCUAACACAUGCAAGUCGAACGGUAACAGGAAGCAGCUUGCUGCUUCGCUGACGAGUGUUGGACGGGUGAGUAAUGUCUGGGAAACUGCCCGAUGGAGGGGGAUAACUACUGGAAACGUUGGCUAAUACCGCAUAACGUCGCCAGACCAAAGUGGGGGAGCUUCAGGCCUCUUGCCAUCGCAUGUGCCCAGAUGGGAUUAGCUGGUAGGUGGGGUAACGGCUCUCCUAGGCGACGAUCCCUAGCUGGUCUGAGAGGAUGACCAGCCACACUGGAACUGAGACAUGGUCCAGACUCCUACUGGAGCCAGCAUUGGGGAAUAUUGCUCAAUGGGCGCAAGCCUGAUGCAGCCAUGUCGGCGAGAUGACCAAGGCCUUCGUGUUUGUAAACGACUUGCUGCGUGUCGUAAGCUGUUCUGUCCAUUAACGCAGCUAUUUGACGUUCCCUGACGACUAGCUACCCUAUACUACGUAGCCAGUGCCGCGGUAAUACCGAGGGUGCUAGCGUAGUCGGAGUACUGGACGGUAAGCGCACGCAGGCGGUCUGUCAAGUCGGAUGUGAAAUCCCCGGGCUCAACCUGGGAACUGCAUUCGAAACUGGCAGGCUUGAGUCUUGUAGAGGGGGGUAGAAUUCCAGGUGUAGCGGUGAAAUGCGUAGAGAUCUGGAGGAAUACCGGUGGCGAAGGCGGCCCCCUGGACAAAGACUGACGCUCAGGUGCGAAAGCGUGGGGAGCAAACAGGAUUAGAUACCCUGGUAGUCCACGCCGUAAACGAUGUCUACUUGGAGGCUGUGCCCUUGAGGCGUGGCUUCCGGAGCUAACGCGUUAAGUAGACCGCCUGGGGAGUACGGCCGCAAGGUUAAAACUCAAAUGAAUUGACGGGGGCCCGCACAAGCGGUGGAGCAUGUGGUUUAAUUCGAUGCAACGCGAAGAACCUUACCUGGUCUUGACAUCCACGGAAGGUCUCAGAGAUGAGACUGUGCCUUCGGGAGCCGUGAGACAGGUGCUGCAUGGCUGUCGUCAGCUCGUGUUGUGAAAUGUUGGGUUAAGUCCCGCAACGAGCGCAACCCUUAUCCUUUGUUGCCAGCGGUCCGGCCGGGAACUCAAAGGAGACUGCCAGUGAUAAACUGGAGGAAGGUGGGGAUGACGUCAAGUCAUCAUGGCCCUUACGACCAGGGCUACACACGUGCUACAAUGGCGCAUACAAAGAGAAGCGACCUCGCGAGAGCAAGCGGACCUCAUAAAGUGCGUCGUAGUCCGGAUUGGAGUCUGCAACUCGACUCCAUGAAGUCGGAAUCGCUAGUAAUCGUGGAUCAGAAUGCCACGGUGAAUACGUUCCCGGGCCUUGUACACACCGCCCGUCACACCAUGGGAGUGGGUUGCAAAAGAAGUAGGUAGCUUAACCUUCGGGAGGGCGCUUACCACUUUGUGAUUCAUGACUGGGGUGAAGUCGUAACAAGGUAACCGUAGGGGAACCUGCGGUUGGAUCACCU